RNAcentral lists this long non-coding RNA (526 nucleotides) under Ananas comosus (pineapple). RNAcentral's name for it is "long non-coding RNA (ACOM_LNC014251)". Lineage: Eukaryota; Viridiplantae; Streptophyta; Magnoliopsida; Poales; Bromeliaceae. The record is from RNAcentral.
GAAGGAGAACAUACAAGACUAUAAAUUGUUAGGAUUCGGUUAGAUUUGUAGUUGAUUUCUAAUUGGAUUAGGGUUAAUAUUUAAUUCUGUCGGACAUAAAUUAAGAUUUAAUUAUUAAUUAAAGUAGAAAUCUAAGUAGACUGAAAUUUGAAUAUGUAAGCUAUAAAUAUCGUAUAGGUGCUAUUAUUGCUAUGGUGGUGGUACAGCUUAGCAACACCCAUAUAGUAUGGCUAAGGUGGUUAUGAUUUUAGAUGCACUAGCGCAUGGGUACAAGAGGAUGUAUGCGGCUUUCAUGAUCGUGGGUCCUUAGUAUAUGUUGUGCAUGGGUGCACAAGAUGAGAGUUUGAACUUAUAAAAGAUGAGAAAAGAGUGAGAGAGACUCAGAAAGAGGGCUUGGGUUAAAGCUAUUCUAUAUAUCGGUGUAAACAAGCUGAACACGAGCGAGUUGGGGUCGGCUUGUGUUCGGCUCGUUUAUUAAUUGAGCCGGACACGAGCUGUAUUAGAACCGAUUGUGGAUUCUCAAGAU